UGUCUGUUGGUGAAAUGGUAACACACACGACUUUGACUCGUGCAUUUCUAGGUCCGAAUCCUAGACAGACAACCA
RNAcentral lists this transfer RNA (75 nucleotides) under Bacteriophage sp. RNAcentral describes it as "tRNA-Gln". It matches the Rfam family "tRNA". From Rfam's summary of the family: Transfer RNA (tRNA) molecules are approximately 80 nucleotides in length. The record is from RNAcentral.